UGAUAGGCGCUAUACGAAGAUAACGUAUGUCACUCGGGGUAGGGCACCAAUCGCUUUUUUUUGUUCGUGCGCUCAGGUGAAGGAACAAACUAUAUUUGUUUUUCCUGCCCGGCAGACCGGGAUAACUCCAGGUAACCGGGGUUUAUACCGGAUAACACCGAAGACCGCAUGGUCUUUGGUUGAAAGGUGGCUUUUGCUACCACUUACGGAUGGGCCCGCGGCGCAUUAGCUAGUUGGUGAGGUAACGGCUCACCAAGGCGACGAUGCGUAGCCGGCCUGAGAGGGUGACCGGCCACACUGGGACUGAGACACGGCCCAGACUCCUACGGGAGGCAGCAGUAGGGAAUCUUCCGCAAUGGACGAAAGUCUGACGGAGCGACGCCGCGUGAGCGAAGAAGGUCUUCGGAUCGUAAAGCUCUGUUGUUAGGGAAGAAGAAGUACCGUUCGAAUAGGGCGGUACGGUGACGGUACCUAACGAGAAAGCCCCGGCUAACUACGUGCCAGCAGCCGCGGUAAUACGUAGGGGGCGCGCGUUGUCCGGAAUUAUUGGGCGUAAAGCGCGCGCAGGCGGUCCCUUAAGUCUGAUGUGAAAGCCCACGGCUCAACCGUGGAGGGUCAUUGGCAAACUGGGGGACUUGAGUGCAGAAGAGGAGAGCGGAAUUCCACGUGUAGCGGUGAAAUGCGUAGAGAUGUGGAGGAACACCAGUGGCGAAGGCGGCUCUCUGGUCUGUAACUGACGCUGAGGCGCGGAAGCGUGGGGAGCAAACAGGAUUAGAUACCUGGUAGUCCCGCCGUAAACGAUGGAUGCUAAUGUUAGAGG
This 820-nucleotide ribosomal RNA is filed under the name Geobacillus sp. ISIJU-3. RNAcentral's name for it is "bacterial SSU rRNA". It matches the Rfam family "Bacterial small subunit ribosomal RNA", at positions 1 to 828 of the family's 1533-position model. Lineage: Bacteria; Bacillati; Bacillota; Bacilli; Caryophanales; Anoxybacillaceae. The record is from RNAcentral.